GUUUUGCGUGAGGGAUAGCAGCCGGAAAUCCUUUUCUUUUUUUAGAAAAAUAAAAGAUUGGAGCGUAUAGCCCGACCCGUA
This 81-nucleotide small RNA is filed under the name Flavobacterium crassostreae. RNAcentral describes it as "Flavo-1 RNA". It matches the Rfam family "Flavo-1 RNA". Lineage: Bacteria; Pseudomonadati; Bacteroidota; Flavobacteriia; Flavobacteriales; Flavobacteriaceae. The record is from Rfam by way of RNAcentral.